GCAGACACAUUCCAGCCAAUCAGCAGCAGACCCUCCCUCCCAGACCCUCCCACCUCCUGGACAGCAUCCAUUUUACAUUCAUUGUGAAGCUGCAUUCUUAGUGAGCUGUCCAGGAGGUGGGAGGGUCUGGGAGGGAGGGUCUGCUGCUGAUUGGCUGGAAUGUGUCU
Molecule: non-coding RNA, 167 nt
Organism: Pelobates cultripes (western spadefoot toad)
Lineage: Eukaryota; Metazoa; Chordata; Amphibia; Anura; Pelobatidae
Source: the annotation of a GenBank genome assembly